CAUCUACACAGCCUCCCAUCAUUCAUUUUGGGGGAGGGAACAGUGCUUAAAUGUAUUUAGAAAGGCAUUUAUUUAUAAUGGAAGAUGUCUUGAUUAAACCCUGUGGUUCUUUCCAUCACUUUCACAGGUGGUGAGAAAAAAUGUGCUGGCUUCAGACAUCUCCUUCAGACAGGCACCAUGAAGGAGAUGGCUGCCAUCCAACAGCAUUGCCUAGGCAGCUCCACCUGUGUCACCCCCUAAACACAUCCAGACAAAUGCCAUUUGUCUUGGCUGCAUUUGAAACAUCCCAGUCACAGACACAUUUACACAUCAGCCACUUUCCACUGAAGCAUGUACACACCCCAGCUUGAAUCCACAGAUGUUCACACAGCUGCUGUCAACAGGCUUCUAAAGGUGAAUUUCAACCAGCUUAGAUCCACAAAUAUCAGACUGCUUCAGCCUUGCAACACCCACUACCACCCAAAAAUACAAACUCCACCGGCCAGCAUCUGCUAGCUUCCACAAGGUCCAUCACCUGCCACCAGCCACCUUCCAACCAUGGAUAUCGGCUGCCUUCAAGCUGCUAUCCCACUUGGCAAGUGAACUUGCCUUCUCAUUGCUCCACAGCAUCCCACUGCCAGAUGAUGGCCUCAUUCCAUCAUAACCUCCUUAGCAUUCACAAUGGUGGGUACAGCUCACCAGUAAUUUCGUCUUUUGCUUGUUUAUUAUUCUCUUUACCUUCUGGAAUAUCUGCAUCUCUUUUACACACUGAAGCUGGAUGGACAAUGAUAAAGGCAAGAGUGGAUUGAGCCCAGUUAAAUGAUUUGAAAAGACUCACAGCUUUAUUCACUGAGCAUCUUCUGACUGUGUGCCAUAUGUAUCUGAGGAACAGCCUUCUGUGGGAAUCAAAUUAUACAGGUUUUCUUAUAUGUUGUCUGGUCCCUUAUACGUAGAUUCAAGGAG
Molecule: long non-coding RNA, 942 nt
Filed under: Podarcis lilfordi (Lilford's wall lizard)
Lineage: Eukaryota; Metazoa; Chordata; Lepidosauria; Squamata; Lacertidae
Source: RNAcentral